CCCUUAGAUGUCCUGGGCCGCACGCGCGUUACACUGAUGCAUUCAACGAGCCUAUAACCUUGGCCGAGAGGCCUGGGCAAUCUUGUUAACGUGCAUCGUGAUAGGGAUAGAUUAUUGAAAUUAUUAAUCUUGAACGAGGAAUUCCUAGUAAACGCAGAUCAUCAAUCUGCAUUGAUUACGUCCCUGCCCUUUGUACACACCGCCCGUCGCACCUACCGAUUGAAUGGUCCGGUGAAGCCUCGGGAUUGUGGCGAGUUCCCUUUAUUGGGAGUUUGUCGCGAGAACUUGUCUAAACCUUAUCAUUUAGAGGAAGGUGAAGUCGUAACA
Molecule: ribosomal RNA, 327 nt
Filed under: uncultured eukaryote
Lineage: Eukaryota
Description: partial 18S ribosomal RNA
Rfam family: Eukaryotic small subunit ribosomal RNA
Source: RNAcentral